Molecule: long non-coding RNA, 4494 nt
Filed under: Canis lupus familiaris (dog)
Lineage: Eukaryota; Metazoa; Chordata; Mammalia; Carnivora; Canidae
Description: lncRNA (ENSCAFG00000050755.1)
Source: RNAcentral
UUUUUUUUUUCACUUUUUAAUUACAUCCUUUACAUAAUUGUAUAUUUUAGGGGACUAAUAAGCUGAUGCCCAUUUCGCUUGAUAUAUUUGGAAAGCACAACUCAUAAUAUGCAGAAUUCACAUCCACUUCAAAAUUUAGGCUUUCAAAGAUUUCAAUUCCAGUAGAUUUAAUACAGACAAAAUUAUAUAUCUAAUAGGUUCAUAAAUGUCUUCCCUCUAAUACCAUAUAGAGUUGUAUAUGGUAUUACACACACAACAUGACACAAUUAUUUAUAUUUAAUAUUUGAAAAUGAAGCUAUUAUCAGGGUAGAUAUGGUCACUGAAGAAUUUUUAUUGUGUGGGCGCCUGGUAGCUCAGAGGUUGAACGUCUGCCUUUGGUUCAGGGUGUGAUCCCGGGGUCCUGGGAUCGAGUCCCACACUCGGCUCCCUGCAUGGAGCCUGCUUCUCCCUCUGCCUGUGUCUCUGCCUCUUUCUCUGUAUCUCUCAUGAAUAAAUAAAUAAAAUCUUUAAAAGAAAAGAAUUUUUAUUGUGAACUUGCAUUGUGACAAGAAUUUUAUUGAGCAGAUAUUCUUUUUCAAGUUUUUAAGUGUUAUAUUUCUAUUGAAAUAUUGAAUACAUUCAGAGCAAACCUAAGAAAAAAUAAACAAAACAUAUAUUUAAGAGAAGGAAGACCUAUUGUGCCUAGAGUUUCUGACAUGAGAGUGUACAGGGCUAAUAAAGUAGUAAACUAAGGAGAGAUAGUAAGUAUUGAACUACACAUGCAUACAAGAAGUUGAACUAAAUAUGCAUCAUUAUGGCUUUACUAACCAAAAGAUUAAACUUAUUUGGGCUGAAAUUUCCUCCCAUUUUAUUUAUUUAUUUAUUUAUUUUUUUUCCUCCCAUUUUAAAAUGAAAUUACUAUUUUUUGCUAGCCAUUUGUUUGUAAGUCACUCCGCUGGAUAUGUUCUAUAUAUGUGUGAUCAUAUUUAAUCCUUAUACCUCAUAGAGGUGUAGUUAGUAUAUUCAAGAGCUAUGACAGACAAAUGAGGCUAGAGAUUCCAAAUAUGCAUCUCAAAUGGGUUGAUAUUAACGGACAGAGAAGGGGUUAAAUUGUAGGUCAACCUUACUCUGAAGUAAUGUUUUUACCUUUAAAAAAAAAAAAGAUUUUAUUUAUUUAUUCAUGAGAAAUACACAGGGAGAGGCAGAGACACAAGCAGAGGGAGAAGCAGGUUCCUGAUGGGGAGCCCGAUGUGGGACUCUAUCCCAGGACCCCAGAAUCACGACCUGAACCAAAAGCAGAUGCCCAACCACUGAGCCACUCAGGCAUCCCAUGUUUUUACCUUUUAAUGCAGAAAAUGAGUUCGUAUCCUGAAACCCAUUGCCCUAUUAUUAUAAGUCUUUUCAAAAAAAGAAAGAAAGAAAAUGUGUAAGUAUGUGCAUGUGUGUGUGCAUGACAACUGUACAAUUGGAAAAUCAGUAUGCAAGAUCUCUAAGAACAUUCAAAGGGUAAUAACCAUAUAUGCAAAUCAACCAUUAAGUAGAAUUUCAAAUUAUGUAUUUUCCUUUUACUAUUAGCAGUUGAAUAAGAUGGUCAUUUCAAAUAACUUCCAAUUAAUGAUCUCCCACUAUUAAAGAAUUCAUAAUUUACUGAUGUAUGUCAAAAUAAUUAGCUGUCAGAAAGCAGAAGAGCUCGUGUUAUUCUUUAAAAUAGCAAAACUUCUUUCACCUAUGACCUGCUUUGAUUUUGUUGAUUCAAUAAGUGCCAGACAUUUCCAUUCAACCAAGAACUUCUGUCUCUUGUAACUAUCGCGGACGGACUCAGUGUCCUGCUUAAUCUCGCUAUGCCACUAAGAUUAGCCAUGUGAAAGAAAAGAAGCCCCGUAUGUCAGAACAAUUCAACAAUUAAGGAGAAGUAUCAUCAUCCUACCAGUAAGUAAAACGAGUACUGAACAAAAGGAAAGCAAAACGAAUCUUGCUUCUCGUUUCAUUACUUGCUCCAGAUUCAAGAACAACUUCUCAACUAUUCAUUGUCUUCCUAAUGUAACAACGAAGACUUGCAUGGAAUGAACCCAUAAAAGUCAUGCAGAAGAUCCAAAAAACAAAGUGCCAGGUGAGAGAAUAUUAUGAUUAAAAUGAUCAAAUAGGAACUAACUAGAAUACUAUUUUUUCCCAAAGUUAAUAUUGUUCCUUAUGCGAUGACAGGUAAUAUAGUCUCAUGUCAAUAACUGUGCAUUUCAAUUACUCUAGCUAAAAGCUCUUGUCACUCAUAAUACACUACAUUAUAUCUGGCAUUUUGUGAUGCCAGUUCCUUUGGGAUUACAAAAUAAUAAUAAUAAUAAUACCCUCAUUAACAGAGUGGUAAGUAUUUGAAUGCUGUGCCAACAUUUAACUCAUGUCUGCCAAUCGAAACAGGAAAAUGUUCUUUAUUGAUUGGAGAAAGGAUCUUGUUUGAAGAUAAUUGACUCUGAGUUUUCCAUUGACAUAAUACCACCUCCGGAAGAAACAUAUGCUCGACUCAGAAAACAAAGGUUAGAUAUAAGAGUCUGAUCACUUUCUCCUUACUCAAGCACAGCUCCUAUUGACUUGAGUGAAAAUUCUGUCUAUCUGCAAAUCAAAGGAUUAUAGAUCAUUUGGUCCACUUUAGAAGCAGAAAAAUUUCUUCAAAUAAAAAGCUUAUACAAGGGCAAGGCAUCUGAAGUAUAAAGGGCUGGGAUUCUCUCACAGAAAAAGGCAGGGAUGGAGUGAGGUGGCCAAGACAAAAAAAAAAAAAUCAUAAAAGACACAUUCACAUAAAUAAGUAUUUUAUUGCUAUUCUAAAAUAAUCAUGGUUAAGAUGUUGGUACAAGUGAGAUAUUAAACAUUGGAUGUGUGAAGUUUGGGAUUCCAAUGAAACAUCCAAGUAAAAAUGUCCAGUGGCAUAAGAAUAUAAAAAAUUUUGCUGAGUGUCUAGGCGGAGGGUGGGAGUAAACACGGAUACCACACACAGCUACGAAGGAGAAGCAGCCUCGACGAGGGAGUGCCAGGACAUUCGGAGAGUGGAUGUCAGGGAGAUCUGAUGUAUCAGCAAUAAAAACUGAGGCCCAAUGGGAAAUGAGGUGACUGCUGACCUAGAAGCCAAGGGAAGAAAUGUUCCAAGGACGAGGGGGUGAUGUAGUGUUUUCAAUGCUGCUGGGAGCCAAAUAAACAGAUCGUCGACCUGACCUUGUGCUUCCACUAUGCAACUCUAAUAAAAACAGGUUGCUGAAGGCUUGGGUAUAAGAGUGACUUUAGGGGUUUCCAGGAGAAUGGAAGAUGAACCAUGAUAAAUAUCACAGGCAGUAAAGGAGCUUUCCUGGCAAGGGGAGCACGAAAUGAACUCACUGGUGAAAUGGGAAGUGUCCUUAGGAGAGGGACUUUGUGCUAAUGCAAAGGGCCACAGAGGGUGAUAGGGGUGAGGCAGGAGGGGGGGUGCCAUGAGAGGUCCUCGAGUGGGUGAGAGGCGAGGCAAUCCAGUUCACAGCUGGAGAGUCUGGCCUCCCCAGGGAACACAGGUGCUUCACUAUCGCUGUGGGAUGGAAGGGAGCAUAAGGGAGCACAUCUUAUGUGCUCGAACAUAAGAAAAUCAGAGUAUGUGGGCUAGACACGUAGGAUGCACCUACCCCAGUGACUGUGAGGAUGGCAGAUGACAAUUAGAAAGUUACUGACACCCAGUACAUUUUUACAGGUGGUAAAUAUGAGCUUUUUUAAAUGCACAUGCUAAAGAGCCACUGAGCCCAUUAAGUAAUGGGUUCGCUUACGCCCAGCACUUGUGGCUACGAAGACUAGCUGCCAGGGCUCUGUGCAUUUUCACAAAGCGGCUAUGAUCCCUAUCUCCACACGCUCCUUAACCCAGAGCUGACCCACAGUGAACUGUCCUGAGCCACUCAUGAACCCACAAAGAAACCCAACCCUUCAGAGGUGGCUGCUGCUCCCUUUCCCCAUAUGAUCAGCAAAAAAGUACACUUUAAAAGGGAAAAGCAUUACCAGAAAAAAGAAAAGUCGUAGGAUUAAAAAAAACUACAAAUACUGGGACACCUGGGUGGCUCAGUGGUUGAGCAUCUGCCUUCAGCCCAGGGCGUGAUUCUGGAGUCCCAGGAUCCAGUCCCACAUUGGGCUUCCUGCAGGGAGCCUGCUUCUCCCUCUGGCUGUGUCUCUGCCUCUCUCUCUCUCUGUCUCUCAUGAAUAAAUAAAAAAAAAAAUCUUAAAAAAAAAUUACAACUACUGAAAUUAGCAUCAUUAAAACUAAAGGGUCACGCAUGUAAUCCUUUAAAAAAAAGAUUAAGAAAAUAAUAUUGCAAUUUUAAAGACCUUCAGAAAGGGUAAAUUUGUCAGGUCACCUGGCUGGCUCAGUUGGGACAGCACUCUCAGGGCCCUGAGUUCAGCCCCACAGUGGGUAUGGAACCUACUAAAAAAAAGAAAAGGGAAGAAAAGAAAGAAAAGAAAAAAAAAAAAAAAAAAAGAAAAAAGAAAAAAAAAAGAAAAGAAAAGAAAAGAAAG